This 1140-nucleotide ribosomal RNA is filed under the name human gut metagenome. RNAcentral's name for it is "bacterial SSU rRNA". It matches the Rfam family "Bacterial small subunit ribosomal RNA", at positions 362 to 1520 of the family's 1533-position model. The record is from RNAcentral.
UAUUGCACAAUGGGGGAAACCCUGAUGCAGCAACGCCGCGUGAAGGAUGACGGUUUUCGGAUUGUAAACUUCUUUUCUUAGUGACGAAGACAGUGACGGUAGCUAAGGAAUAAGCAUCGGCUAACUACGUGCCAGCAGCCGCGGUAAUACGUAGGAUGCAAGCGUUAUCCGGAUUUACUGGGUGUAAAGGGAGCGCAGGCGGGACUGCAAGUUGGAUGUGAAAUACCGUGGCUUAACCACGGAACUGCAUCCAAAACUGUAGUUCUUGAGUGAAGUAGAGGCAAGCGGAAUUCCGAGUGUAGCGGUGAAAUGCGUAGAUAUUCGGAGGAACACCAGUGGCGAAGGCGGCUUGCUGGGCUUUAACUGACGCUGAGGCUCGAAAGUGUGGGGAGCAAACAGGAUUAGAUACCCUGGUAGUCCACACUGUAAACGAUGAUAGCUAGGUGUGGGGGGUCUGACCCCUUCCGUGCCGGAGUUAACGCAAUAAGCUAUCCACCUGGGGAGUACGACCGCAAGGUUGAAACUCAAAGGAAUUGACGGGGGCCCGCACAAGCAGUGGAUUAUGUGGUUUAAUUCGAAGCAACGCGAAGAACCUUACCAGGUCUUGACAUCCGACUAACGAGAUAGAGAUAUGUCAGGUGCCCUUCGGGGAAAGUCGAGACAGGUGGUGCAUGGUUGUCGUCAGCUCGUGUCGUGAGAUGUUGGGUUAAGUCCCGCAACGAGCGCAACCCCUGCCAUUAGUUGCUACGCAAGAGCACUCUAAUGGGACCGCUACCGACAAGGUGGAGGAAGGUGGGGACGACGUCAAAUCAUCAUGCCCCUUAUGACCUGGGCUACACACGUAAUACAAUGGCCGUUAACAGAGGGAAGCAAAGCGGUGACGCAGAGCAAAACCCUAAAAACGGUCCCAGUUCGGACUGUAGGCUGCAACCCGCCUACACGAAGUUGGAAUUGCUAGUAAUCGCGGAUCAGCAUGCCGCGGUGAAUACGUUCCCGGGCCUUGUACACACCGCCCGUCACACCAUGGGAGUUUGUAACACCCGAAGUCAGUGACCCAACCGCAAGGAGGGAGCUGCCGAAGGUGGGAUAAGCGACUGGGGUGAAGUCGUAACAAGGUAGCCGUAGGAGAACCUGCGGCUG